Molecule: ribosomal RNA, 409 nt
Filed under: uncultured bacterium
Lineage: Bacteria
Description: bacterial SSU rRNA
Rfam family: Bacterial small subunit ribosomal RNA
Source: RNAcentral
CAGCAGCCGCGGUAAUACAGAGGGGGCUAGCGUUAUUCGGAAUUAUUGGGCGUAAAGGGCGCGCAGGCGGCCACGCACGUCCGUUGUGAAAUCGCUCGGCUCAACUGGGCGGGGUCAGCGGAUACGGCGUGGCUAGAGCAAGCUAGGGGGCAAUGGAAUUCCCGGUGUAGUGGUGGAAUGCGUAGAUAUCGGGAGGAACACCAGUGGCGAAGGCGGUUGCCUGGAGCUUUGCUGACGCUGAGGCGCGAAAGCGUGGGGAGCGAUCCGGAUUAGAUACCCGGGUAGUCCACGCUGUAAACGAUGUCGACUAGGUGUCGGGGGUAUCGACCCCCUCGGCGCCGCAGCUAACGCAUUAAGUCGACCGCCUGGGGACUACGGCCGCAAGGCUAAAACUCAAAGGAAUUGACGG